RNAcentral lists this ribosomal RNA (1257 nucleotides) under Triticum aestivum (bread wheat). RNAcentral describes it as "partial small subunit ribosomal RNA". Lineage: Eukaryota; Viridiplantae; Streptophyta; Magnoliopsida; Poales; Poaceae. The record is from RNAcentral.
AUGCAAGAUCGGCAUGUAAUUGCUUACGCCUCACGGCAAUUGCACCCACAUGAGGAGAAUUAUCCUACUCAUGAUCUAGAGCUUGCAGCUGUAGUCUAUGCACUUAAAACCUGGCGACAUUACCUCCUCGGUAAUCGUUGCGAAAUAUUCACUGAUCACCAAAGUCUGAAGUACAUCUUCACCCAACCGGAUUUGAAUCUCAGGCAAAGACGUUGGGUCGAGUUGAUCACAGAUUUCGACUUAGGAAUAACUUACACCCCAGGGAAAGCCAACGUCAUGGCUGAUGCACUAAGUCGUAAAUCUUAUUGUAACAACCUGAUGUUACAACAAAGUCAACCGCUUCUCCAUGAGGAAUUUCGGAAGCUUAACCUUCACAUUGUUCCUCAAGGAUUUCUUUCCACCUUGGUGGCGAAACCUACUCUUACGGAUCAAAUCAUUGCUGCCCAGAAGCGAGAUAAGGGAAUAGCUAAGAUCAAGGAGAACAUUGCUAGCGGAGAUGCUAGUUGUUUCUCCACAAAUGAUCAUGGUGUUGUGUACUUUGGGAACCGUUUAGUGGUUCCCAAGAACCAGCAUCUACGACAGUUGAUCCUUAAGGAGGCUCAUGAAUCCCCUCUCACCAUUCAUCCGGGUAGUACCAAGAUGUAUCAGGACCUACGCCAGAGGUUCUGGUGGACUAGGAUGAAGAGAGAAAUUGCUCAGUAUAUUGCUAAUUGUGACGUCUGUCGUCGUGUAAAAGCAGAGCAUCAACGGCCUGCUGGCACCCUUCAGCCCCUAGCUAUUCCUGAAUGGAAAUGGGAUAAAAUUGGUAUGGAUUUCAUUACCGGUUUUCCCAGGACCAAGAGAGGGAAUAAUGCUAUCUUUGUCGUUGUCGAUCGUCUUUCCAAAGUGGCCCAUUUCUUACCUGUUCGUGAGAGUAUAACCGCUAGUCAGCUGGCAGACCUAUACAUCUCCCGAAUAGUGUCUCUUCAUGGUGUUCCUUUGGAAAUUAACUCGGAUCGAGGAAGUCUUUUCACCUCUCGAUUUUGGGAAAGUUUCCAAAACGCUAUGGGAACCCGCCUUUCCUUUAGCACCGCUUUUCACCCUCAAUCGAGUGGUCAAGUAGAACGCGUCAACCAGAUCCUAGAAGACAUGCUUCGAGCCUCUGUUAUCUCAUUCGGAAUGGAUUGGGAGAAAUGCCUUCCAUUUGCCGAAUUUGCUUACAACAACAGCUAUCAAUCUAGCUUGGGUAAAGCCCCUUUUGAAGUUCUCUAUGGAUGA